GUGCUUGCCAUGGCAGCAUAUACACUAAAAUUGAAAUGACAGAGAUUAGCAUGGUCCCUGUGAAAGGAUAACACGAAAAUUCCUGAAGUGUUCCAUAGUUAA
Small nuclear RNA from Phodopus roborovskii (desert hamster), 102 nucleotides. NCBI's taxonomy places the organism in Eukaryota, Metazoa, Chordata, Mammalia, Rodentia, Cricetidae. The record is from RefSeq and is a predicted model, not a curated record.